RNAcentral lists this ribosomal RNA (954 nucleotides) under Triticum aestivum (bread wheat). Its description in RNAcentral is "partial small subunit ribosomal RNA". The record is from RNAcentral. Lineage: Eukaryota; Viridiplantae; Streptophyta; Magnoliopsida; Poales; Poaceae.
AUGUCAGCCACACCGUCGGCGCCGGCGACUCAGCCAGGCCUCGGCGUGUCAAGCACAGCAUCAACAGCCCAUGGACAAGCUGCCAUUGCGAAUGUGAAAUCAAAAGACCCAGGAUGGAAAUAUUGCAUUUGCCCGGAUGAAAACAAGAAGAAUUCACUUAGGUGCAUCUAUUGUAAUAAUCUGUACACCAAUGGUAUUACUCGGAUCAAGUUCCACCUUGGAAACAUUCCGAAUUCCGGUGUUCUACCUUGCACAAAAGUGCCUGCUGAUGUAAGGGAUGAAAUUGUUGAGUAUUUGACAAGGAAGGGUGAGAAAAAGGCAAUAAAGGUUACAGAGCAGAAGAGAAGGAGAUGUGAAGUGGACUUGAGCCACUCAGAGGGGGAAGGUGCUAGUGACUCAGAUGGCACAAACAAUUCUGUUCUUGUGCUGAAGUCAGCGCGUGGCACAACGUCUAAAUCCUCAAGUGGCCCUAUGGAAAAGUUCUGCAAAUUGACACCCAAAGAGGCUAUUGCUGCAAGGAAGGAAAAAGUUGCUGAUAAUAUCCAAUUAAAGCUGACAACUGGGAGAAGAGAACAAAAAAGGAUUCGUGCUUGUGAGUACAUUUGCCAAUUCUUCUAUGAAGCAUGCAUUCCCUUCAAUGCAGUCACACUUCCAAGCUUUGACCUUAUGCUUGAGUCAAUUGGACAAUACGGCGAAGACCUAGAUGGUCCUAGUCCUUAUGAAAUGGGUGGGCCAUACUUGAAGAAGAGGAAGAAGAGAGUGAAGGAUUCCUUCAAGGCACACAAGGAACAUUGGGAGCUCACUGGAUGUACAAUCAUGACAGAUGCAUGGACAGACAUAAGAGGAAGAGGGGUAAUGAACUUGGUGGUUCAUAGUGCUUAUGGUGUAGUUUUUCUUGAUUCUGUGGAUUGUUCAGCUGCUAAAAAAAUGGUAAGUACAUCUUUGAUCUUGUAG